RNAcentral lists this long non-coding RNA (1681 nucleotides) under Equus caballus (horse). RNAcentral describes it as "lncRNA (ENSECAG00000054285.1)". The record is from RNAcentral. Lineage: Eukaryota; Metazoa; Chordata; Mammalia; Perissodactyla; Equidae.
GCCUGUGGACCUCUCAGGCAGGCUGCUGGGCUCUUCCGGAGGAACGUGUGCUUCUGCCUGUCCCUCAGGUCUGACUGCACUGAGCCUUACUCCUUCUCCAGCCAGAGGGUGGAUAGCUGCAGUUAUUCCAGGCAGAUGGCCUCCCUUCCACGAGCAGACAGAGGCAGGGCACCGAAAAGUCUGAAGAUUGUGAAAAGACAGUACCAGGGAAAGUGUCAGCAUUUUGAGUGCCAUCCGCGGCAAAGGUCAAGCUACACGAAAUGAGCUUAAAGUUAGCUUCCCAGUGAGAAGGCAGUGACUCAGCGGCUUCUGAGACCAGCACAGGCACUUCUCAAGCCAGCAAAGCUCUAUUUUACUCAUCAGGCUAAACUUAGAAGUCAGUGUCAUGGUAUCCAAUGUAAUACUGAAGAAAUGGAGAAAUACACAACUCUAAGAGUUGACAGAGCAUGGCUUCCUGUCCAGGGCUGUUUGCUGAGCUUCAGUCGGCACAUACAAUGGUUGAUAUCAUGAGCAGAUGAAGUAACCAGCAAUAAGAGCAUUUAAACGACCAUGGUAUAACACAGGAUGAAGUGUACAGUUGGGCAUGGUAAACUAACCCCACAAACACAGCAAAAGGGGGGAACGGAAAGGAAAGGUAUAUCCAUUGUGUGGUUUGGGCCUGAACUGGUCCUGUGACAUCCAGAACUGAGUCCUCUUUGUGUCCAAAGGGAAAUGAGCCGGCGUGCUGGGCUUGAAACAUCAUGCAAGCGACUGUUGAAGGCUGUGACAAUGUUUAGUCUAGAGAAAAGAAGACUUGGGUGGAACAGAAGAGUAGUUCAAAUAUUUGAAGAGCGGGCAUGUGAAAGAGAAGUAGGCAGCACCCAGAGGAGGGAGCAGGGACCAAUGUGAAAUGAAGAAGGGAGAUUUUAGCUCCCUAAAUUUUCUAACCAUUAGACCUCUCUGAAAUGGAAGGAGCUGCCUGGAGAACACAGCAUUUGUAUUGGUGUGUGUGUUUUAGCAGAAGCAGGGUGCACUUUGUGAUGACUGCUAAGGCCCCAUUCAACCCCAACUGAAGGCAGGAUUGGGAAUUCUGCCUGUGCCUUCCUGGAAGCCAAGCAUCAGACACAGGCCUUUGGGUAUAUAAAUAGAAUCUUUACAAACCUGGGUUUUAUUGUUACUCCCACAUUACAGAUGAGGCAACUCAGAGAGGCUAAAUAAUCUGCCCAAAGUUGCCCAACUAUUAUGUGCCUCUAUUCCAACAUCGCAUACUCUCCAUCAUGCUAAAUGAGGCAUUAAUCUCUAUGCCCUUAAGGAAGAAAAGGUAUUAUUUUAAAAUGUUAUCAAAAUCCUAAAUUCCUAGAGCCAUAAAUAAAAUUCUUUCAAAUAUAAAACCUAAUGAUUCCUCCCCAAGCCUCUGACGGCAUGCCAAUGGGCCUCUCUGCUGAAAGUCCAUUGGUUUCACCAUUAACAAAAGGAAAUAGAAUUAAUGGGCUCUUUCCAAAACUUCUACUAGGAAUCCCAGGAAUUAAACUUGUGCUAUUUGUACCAUAAAGUCAACGCGAUACUAUUUCCUAAACUAGUGGUUUAUAUCUUUUUGGUGUGGCCAUACUUGUUUUAUUUAUUUAUUUUUUUUUUUAAGAGUUUUCUUUUUUUUUUUUUUUAAAGAUUUUAUUUUUUCCUUUUUUCUCCCCAAAGCCCCCCG